RNAcentral lists this transfer RNA (61 nucleotides) under Eremobates cf. palpisetulosus SEM-2008. RNAcentral describes it as "tRNA-Asp". The record is from RNAcentral. Lineage: Eukaryota; Metazoa; Arthropoda; Arachnida; Solifugae; Eremobatidae.
AAGAUGUUAGUUAAAUUAUAACAUAAGAAUGUCAAACUUAAAUUGUUCCAUACACAUCUUA